This 253-nucleotide ribosomal RNA is filed under the name uncultured bacterium. Its description in RNAcentral is "partial 16S ribosomal RNA". It matches the Rfam family "Bacterial small subunit ribosomal RNA", at positions 524 to 776 of the family's 1533-position model. The record is from RNAcentral.
UACAGAGGUCUCAAGCGUUGUUCGGAUUCAUUGGGCGUAAAGGGCGCGUAGGCGGCGGGGUAAGUCGGGUGUGAAAUCUCAGAGCUCAACUCUGAAAUGGCACUUGAUACUGCUCUGCUAGAGGACUGGAGAGGAGAUUGGAAUUCACGGUGUAGCAGUGAAAUGCGUAGAUAUCGUAAGGAAGACCAGUGGCGAAGGCGGGUCUCUGGACAGUUCCUGACGCUGAGGCACGAAGGCCAGGGGAGCAAACGGG